This 408-nucleotide ribosomal RNA is filed under the name uncultured bacterium. RNAcentral describes it as "partial 16S ribosomal RNA". It matches the Rfam family "Bacterial small subunit ribosomal RNA", at positions 28 to 526 of the family's 1533-position model. The record is from RNAcentral.
GACGAACGCUGGCGGCGUGCUUAACACAUGCAAGUCGAACGAAGUGGCGAACGGGUGAGUAACGCGUAAUCAACCUGCCCUUCAGAGGGGGACAACAGUGGGAAACGAUUGCUAAUACCGCAUACUGAAGGUGGGGAUUGCGUCUGAUUAGCUAGUUGGAGGGGUAACGGCCCACCAAGGCGAUGAUCAGUAGCCGGGCUGAGGGGGUGAACGGCCCAAUUGGGACUGGAACACGGCCCAGACUCCUACGGGAGGCAACAAGGGGGAAUCUUCCGAAAAGGGCGAAAGGCUGACGGAGCAACGCCGCGUGAGGUAUGACGGCCUUCGGGUUGUAAAGCUCUGUUAAUCGGGACGCGGUACCGGAAUAGAAAGCCACGGCUAACUACGUGCCAGCAGCCGCGGUAAUAC